UAAGGCUUUCGCCUUUCGCCGGGCUUGAGAGCUUAUGAUGUUUUUAUCCUUCCUUGGAUGUCUGAGACCAAUUAUGUUUUAGUUAGAUGAUUGUUGC
RNAcentral lists this small RNA (97 nucleotides) under Arabidopsis thaliana (thale cress). Its description in RNAcentral is "ATSL238970". The record is from RNAcentral. Lineage: Eukaryota; Viridiplantae; Streptophyta; Magnoliopsida; Brassicales; Brassicaceae.